RNAcentral lists this ribosomal RNA (253 nucleotides) under uncultured bacterium. Its description in RNAcentral is "partial 16S ribosomal RNA". It matches the Rfam family "Bacterial small subunit ribosomal RNA", at positions 524 to 776 of the family's 1533-position model. The record is from RNAcentral.
UACGAAGGGGGCGAGCGUUAUUCGGAAUCACUGGGCGUAAAGCGUGCGUAGGCUGUUUUGUAAGUUGGAAGUGAAAGCCCAGGGCUCAACCUUGGAAUUGCUUUCAAAACUACAAGACUCGAAUUCGGGAGAGGAUAGCGGAAUUUCCAGUGUAGUAGUGAAAUACGUAGAUAUUGGAAGGAACACCAGUGGCGCAAGCGGCUAUCUGGACCGACAUUGACGCUGAGGCACGAAAGCGUGGGGAUCAAACAGG